UCAAAAGUAGGAUCGUAUGAAUUUGCUAAUACGUUUUACAGGAUACUUGGAUUCCUUGUCUUCAAAUUGUGAAUUAGCACGGGAAUUGUCCUAAACCUGUAAACCUUGUACUGCACCUCUCCUGUUUCUUUUUUUUUUUCCCCCUCCUUGGCACUGCGUUCCUCAACCCAAUGUUUUGGUGUGAUAGUAGUCCUGGUCAGAUUCUGUCUAUUUGACUUUUAUAAGUCAACUGGACGGAAAAUAAUGGAAAGGACCGUGUCUUACACGUUGUCUUCAAAUUGUGAAUUAGCACGGGAAUUGUCCUAAACCUGUAAACCUUGUACUGCACCUCUCCUGUUUCUUUUUUUUUUUUUUUUUCCCCUCCUUGGCACUGCGUUCCUCAACCCAAUGUUUUGGUGUGAUAGUAGUCCUGGUCAGAUUCUGUCUAUUUGACUUUUAUAAGUCAACUGGACCGGAAAAUAAUGGAAAGGAC
RNAcentral lists this long non-coding RNA (472 nucleotides) under Olea europaea (common olive). RNAcentral's name for it is "long non-coding RNA (OEUR_LNC001937)". The record is from RNAcentral. Lineage: Eukaryota; Viridiplantae; Streptophyta; Magnoliopsida; Lamiales; Oleaceae.